AGAGGGGGAUAACGAUUGGAAACGAUCGCUAAUACCGCAUGACAUAGCGGAACCGCAUGGUUUUGUUAUCAAAGAUUUUAUCGCUGAUAGAUGGGCUCGCGUCCGAUUAGAUAGUUGGUGGGGUAACGGCCUACCAAGUCGACGAUCGGUAGCCGGACUGAGAGGUCGAACGGCCACAUUGGGACUGAGACACGGCCCAGACUCCUACGGGAGGCAGCAGUGGGGGAUAUUGCACAAUGGGGGAAACCCUGAUGCAGCGACGCCGCGUGAGGGAAGACGGUCCUCUGGAUUGUAAACCUCUGUCUUCGGGGACGAAACGAGACGGUACCCGAAGAGGAAGCCAC
RNAcentral lists this ribosomal RNA (344 nucleotides) under uncultured bacterium. RNAcentral describes it as "bacterial SSU rRNA". It matches the Rfam family "Bacterial small subunit ribosomal RNA", at positions 135 to 494 of the family's 1533-position model. The record is from RNAcentral.